GACGAACGCUGGCGGCGUGCUUAACACAUGCAAGUCGAACGGAAAGGCCCUGCUUUUGUGGGGUGCUCGAGUGGCGAACGGGUGAGUAACACGUGAGUAACCUGCCCUUGACUUUGGGAUAACUUCAGGAAACUGGGGCUAAUACCGGAUAGGAGCUCCUACUGCAUGGUGGGGGUUGGAAAGUUUCGGCGGUUGGGGAUGGACUUGCGGCUUAUCAGCUUGUUGGUGGGGUAGUGGCUUACCAAGGCUUUGACGGGUAGCCGGCCUGAGAGGGUGACCGGCCACAUUGGGACUGAGAUACGGCCCAGACUCCUACGGGAGGCAGCAGUGGGGAAUAUUGCACAAUGGGCGGAAGCCUGAUGCAGCAACGCCGCGUGCGGGAUGACGGCCUUCGGGUUGUAAACCGCUUUCGCCUGUGACGAAGCGUGAGUGACGGUAAUGGGUAAAGAAGCACCGGCUAACUACGUGCCAGCAGCCGCGGUGAUACGUAGGGUGCGAGCGUUGUCCGGAUUUAUUGGGCGUAAAGGGCUCGUAGGUGGUUGAUCGCGUCGGAAGUGUAAUCUUGGGGCUUAACCCUGAGCGUGCUUUCGAUACGGGUUGACUUGAGGAAGGUAGGGGAGAAUGGAAUUCCUGGUGGAGCGGUGGAAUGCGCAGAUAUCAGGAGGAACACCAGUGGCGAAGGCGGUUCUCUGGGCCUUUCCUGACGCUGAGGAGCGAAAGCGUGGGGAGCGAACAGGCUUAGAUACCCUGGUAGUCCACGCUGUAAACGGUGGGUACUAGGCGUGGGGUCCAUUCCACGGGUUCCGUGCCGUAGCUAACGCUUUAAGUACCCCGCCUGGGGAGUACGGCCGCAAGGCUAAAACUCAAAGGAAUUGACGGGGCCCCGCACAAGCGGCGGAGCAUGCGGAUUAAUUCGAUGCAACGCGUAGAACCUUACCUGGGUUUGACAUGGAUCGGGAGUGCUCAGAGAUGGGUGUGCCUCUUUUGGGGUCGGUUCACAGGUGGUGCAUGGCUGUCGUCAGCUCGUGUCGUGAGAUGUUGGGUUAAGUCCCGCAACGAGCGCAACCCUUGUUCACUGUUGCCAGCACGUUAUGGUGGGGACUCAGUGGAGACCGCCGGGGUCAACUCGGAGGAAGGUGGGGAUGACGUCAAGUCAUCAUGCCCCUUAUGUCCAGGGCUUCACGCAUGCUACAAUGGCUGGUACAGAGAGUGGCGAGCCUGUGAGGGUGAGCGAAUCUCGGAAAGCCGGUCUCAGUUCGGAUUGGGGUCUGCAACUCGACCUCAUGAAGUCGGAGUCGCUAGUAAUCGCAGAUCAGCAACGCUGCGGUGAAUACGUUCCCGGG
This 1343-nucleotide ribosomal RNA is filed under the name uncultured bacterium. RNAcentral describes it as "16S ribosomal RNA". It matches the Rfam family "Bacterial small subunit ribosomal RNA", at positions 28 to 1378 of the family's 1533-position model. The record is from RNAcentral.